RNAcentral lists this ribosomal RNA (254 nucleotides) under uncultured bacterium. RNAcentral describes it as "partial 16S ribosomal RNA". It matches the Rfam family "Bacterial small subunit ribosomal RNA", at positions 524 to 776 of the family's 1533-position model. The record is from RNAcentral.
UACAGAGGGGGCAAGCGUUGUUCGGAAUUACUGGGCGUAAAGGGCUCGUAGGCGGCCAACUAAGUCGGACGUGAAAUCCCUCGGCUUAACCGGGGAACUGCGUCCGAUACUGGAUGGCUUGAGUGUGGGAGAGGGAUGCGGAAUUCCAGGUGUAGCGGUGAAAUGCGUAGAUAUCUGGAGGAACACCGGUGGCGAAGGCGGCAUCCUGGACUACUACUGACGCUGAGGGAGCGAAAGCCAGGGGAGCAAACGGG